GAUGAACGCUGGCGGUAUGCUUAACACAUGCAAGUCGAACGGACUCUUCGGAGUUAGUGGCGGACGUGUGAUUAACGCGUGAGAAUCUGGCUUUGGGUUCGGUACAACCACUUGAAACGUUGGCUAAUACCGGUUGUGCCGAUAGGUAAAAGGGAAAUUGCCUGAAGAUGAGCUCGCGUCUGAUUAGCUAGUUGGUGAGGUAAAGGCUCACCAAGGCAGCGAUCAGUAGCUGGUCUGAGAGGAUGACCAGCCACACUGGGACUGAGACACCGCCCAGACUCCUACGGGAGGCAGCAGUGGGGAAUUUUACGAAAUGGGCGAAAGCCUGACGGAGCAAUACCGCGUGAGGGAAGAAGGCUCUUGGGUUGUAAACCUCUUUUCUUAGGGAAGAACAAAAUGACGGUAACUAAGGAAUAAGCACCGGCUAACUACGUG
This 435-nucleotide ribosomal RNA is filed under the name uncultured bacterium. RNAcentral's name for it is "partial 16S ribosomal RNA". It matches the Rfam family "Bacterial small subunit ribosomal RNA", at positions 28 to 507 of the family's 1533-position model. The record is from RNAcentral.